GACUCCGUAGCUCAGCAGGAUAGAGCGUCUGCCUCCUAAGCAGAAGGUCGCGCGUUCGAAUCGCGCCGGGGUCACCA
Molecule: transfer RNA, 77 nt
Filed under: Alphaproteobacteria bacterium
Lineage: Bacteria; Pseudomonadati; Pseudomonadota; Alphaproteobacteria
Also listed under: 3 other names
Description: tRNA-Arg
Rfam family: tRNA
About the family: Transfer RNA (tRNA) molecules are approximately 80 nucleotides in length.
Source: RNAcentral